AGGGGUAGGAGUGAAAUCGUAUAAUCCUUGUAGGACCACCAGUGGCGAAGGCGUCAGACUGGAACGCGCCUGACGGUGAGGGACGAAAGCCAGGGGAGCGAACCGGAUUAGAUACCCGGGUAGUCCUGGCCGUAAACGAUGCACACUAGAUGAUGGUGCGGCCAUGAGCCGUAUCAGUGUCGUAGGGAAACCGUUAAGUGUGCCGCCUGGGAAGUACGGUCGCAAGGCUUAAACUUAAAGGAAUUGGCGGGGGAGCACCACAAGGGGUGAAGCCUGCGGUUCAAUUGGACUCAACGCCGGGCAACUUACCAGGGGAGACAGCAGAAUGAAGGUCAGGUUGACGACCUUACCUAACAAGCUGAGAGGAGGUGCAUGGCCGUCGCCAGUUCGUGCUGUGAGGUAUCCUGUUAAGUCAGGCAACGAACGAGACCCGUGCCUUUAUUUGCCAUCAAGAAGUCACGACUUCGUUGGGAACGAUAAAGGGACUGCCGUCGAUAAGACGGAGGAAGGAGCGGGCAAAGGCAGGUCAGUAUGCCCCGAAACCCCUGGGCUACACGCGGGCUGCAAUGGUGCGAACAAUGGGCUGUGACUCCGACAGGAGAAACCAAUCCCGAAAUCGCAUCUCAGUUGGGAUUGUCAACUGUAACCCGUUGACAUGAACGUGGAAUCCCUAGUAAUCGCGUGUCACCAUCGCGCGGUGAUACGUCUCUGCUCCUUGCACUCACCGCCC
This 730-nucleotide ribosomal RNA is filed under the name uncultured crenarchaeote. RNAcentral describes it as "bacterial SSU rRNA". It matches the Rfam family "Archaeal small subunit ribosomal RNA", at positions 622 to 1351 of the family's 1478-position model. Lineage: Archaea; Thermoproteati; Thermoproteota. The record is from RNAcentral.